ACCAAUACCUGUGAUUCAUAAAUAAAUUUUGAUGUAGUCAUAUUAAGUAUGACAUUGCCUAAUCCAUAUUUUGAAUUUACGUCAAGAUUUACAAGAGAAACAAAAUCAAUUGCAAAACAUGGUUGUCGCACUUAUUGUAAGUAAUGUUAGUAUCUUGGAUCCAUUAUAGAUGGAAUGGUUGACGCAUCCAAUAAUAUAGGCUUAAUGCCUUGGGACUCAACCAAUAUACAAGGUAUUCACCAAAAUCUGAAAUAGUAAUAAGCCUGAUGGCUUGUGUUGAAGUAGUACUAAUUGCGUAAAAACAUAGAGCCUGUGGGCCUAUAUGCUAGUUAUAGAACUUAUAUGCCAUUAAGGGUAACGAGAAGUGCUAAAAUGUGAAGUAUACAAAGAGAUAAGAUGCUCUCGUCAUUCUCUGUACAACCACGAACGGGAUUCGGUUCGCUUUGGCUGCGUGCAGAAGAAAUCCCCAUCUUGGAGAAUUUAUAAGGAACACCGCGUCACCAAUUGGAGGCCGUCAUGCUUCCCCAUGGGUUGUCUUCACGCUGGGCGCCGGCCAUUAGCCGUUGUCGUCCGCUGGACGCUGCUUGGGGCACUGCGUUGCCUCCCAAUGGAGGUCCGCGACCUCGGGGCGCUGCGCCGCCUUGCCGGCCGUCCUGUCAGCCGGGAGGGCAAGGCCCCGCCGUCGCGCUACGUGCUGUAGGGUGCCACGCGCUCGAUGGAGUCGUCGUGCUGUGUGUUGGAUGUUGUGGGGUGGACGCGGCUGCUGGGCGGAACCAGGCGGACAGCCCUUAUUGGUAGCGGGCGUCGUUGCACUGUGAAAGCGCUAUCGCCGUAGACGGUUGUGUUGAGGAAGGCCGCAGAUGCGGGCACGGCCGUUCGUGUCCACCCCGCCAUGUCAUGCAUCCAAGAUCGCGUUN
This 917-nucleotide long non-coding RNA is filed under the name Hordeum vulgare. RNAcentral's name for it is "long non-coding RNA (HVUL_LNC003503)". The record is from RNAcentral. Lineage: Eukaryota; Viridiplantae; Streptophyta; Magnoliopsida; Poales; Poaceae.